RNAcentral lists this ribosomal RNA (693 nucleotides) under uncultured fungus. RNAcentral describes it as "eukaryotic LSU rRNA". The stretch from base 160 to 313 matches the Rfam family "5.8S ribosomal RNA". The record is from RNAcentral. Lineage: Eukaryota; Fungi.
CGGAAGGAUCAUUAAUGAAAUUCAAGGACGCUCUUUUUAGAGGUCCGACCAAUUACAUUUUACCUUUACUCUGUGCACACACUACUCUUUACACCAUUUUUUAACUCUAUAGUUUUAAGAAUGUAAAACAAGUCUCGAAAGAGCAACAUAACAAAACAAAACUUUCGGCAACGGAUCUCUUGGCUCUCGCAUCGAUGAAGAACGCAGCGAAAUGCGAUACGUAAUGUGAAUUGCAGAAUUCAGUGAAUCAUCGAAUCUUUGAACGCACCUUGCACUCUUUGGUAUUCCGAAGAGUAUGUCUGUUUGAGUGUCAUGAAACUCUCAACCCCCUCAUUUUGUAAUGAAGUGAGUCGUGGGCUUGGAUUAUGGCUGUCUGUCGGCUUCAUUGCCGGCUCAGCUGAAAUACACGAGUAACCCAGUUUGAAAAACUGACGGCUUGACUCGGCGUAAUAAUUAUUAUCGCUGAGGACGUCUAACCUUCAAAUCGUUAGUGGUGCUUCUAAUGCAAAUCAUUUUAAGAUUUAGACCUCAAAUCAGUCAGGAUUACCCGCUGAACUUAAGCAUAUCAAUAAGCGGAGGAAAAGAAACUAACAAGGAUUCCCCUAGUAACGGCGAGUGAAGUGGGAAAAGCUCAACUUUAAAAUCUGGCAGCUUCGCUGUCCGAGUUGUAGUCUCGAGAAGCGUCUUCCGCGC